RNAcentral lists this long non-coding RNA (1331 nucleotides) under Homo sapiens (human). Its description in RNAcentral is "HSALNT0235269". The record is from RNAcentral. Lineage: Eukaryota; Metazoa; Chordata; Mammalia; Primates; Hominidae.
GUCAGAUGCAGGCCAGGCUCUCCACCACCCCAAAACUCAGAGCUUAACUCCCUGGUUAGUACAUAUCUGGAUGCACGUCAGGAAUGCAGGCAGGGCUGGAUGCACUUCCGCUCCACAUGGUGUGGAUGAGGGCCACUCCGGGGUGCUCUGUGGGCAGCUGGGCUGGUCAAAAACUUCCAGGGCGGCCUUACUUCUGCAGCUGGUGCCAUGGCGAGACAGCUGGAACGUCCCCACAGGGCCACUCUGGCACGGGGUCUCAGGGUGGCCAGGCCCCCUCCUCGGCCCCUCAGGGCUCCCAAAGUGAGUGUCUGGAGGGGCCUCUGAUGACCCAGCCACAGGGCCUCACUUUGGCCACACUCCACUGUUCAGGCAUUGCCAAGUCCAGGCAGAUGCCUGGGAGGGGAAUUAGCUCUGCCUCCUGAUGGGAGGAGAAAUGAGAGCCUCGAUAAGCAUCGAAUCAAUGAAAGAAAGAAACUCACAUGGAGGCAUUGACGCAGCAACACCAUGCAUGUUCAUCCUUCACGUGAGACACUAACAUGCCAAUACCACGCACAUUCGUCCUUCACGUGAGACACUGAUGCGCCAAUACCACACAUGUUCAUCCUUCAUGUGAGACACUGAUGUGCCAAUACCACACACAUUCAUCCUUCACGUGAGACACUAACAUGCCAACACCACACAUGUUCAUCCUUCACGUGAGACACUAACAUGCCAACACCACGCAUGUUCAUCCUUCACGUGAGACACUAACAUGCCAACACCACACACAUUCAUCCUUCACUUGAGACACUAACACGCCAAUACCACGCACGUUCAUCCUUCACGUGAGACACUGAUGCGCCAAUACCACACAUGUUCAUCCUUCAUGUGAGACAGUGAUGCGCCAAUACCACACACAUUCAUCCUUCACGUGAGACACUAACAUGCCAACACCACACAUGUUCAUCCUUCACGUGAGACACUAACAUGCCAACAUCACACAUGUUCAUCCUUCACGUGAGACACUAACAUGCCAACAUCACACACGUUCAUCCUUCACGUGAGACACUAACAUGCCAAUACCACGCACGUUCAUCCUUCACAUGAGACACAUGCCAAUACCGCGCAUGUUCAUCCUUCACGUGAGACACUGAUGUGCCAAUACCACACAUGUUCAUCCUUCAUGUGAGACACUGACAUGCCAACACCACACAUGUUCAUCCUUCACGUGAGACACUAACGUGCCAACAGCACAUAUGUCCAUCCUUCACGUGAGACACCGACAUGCCAAUACCACACACAUGCAUCCUUCACAUGAGACACUGACACGCCAAUACCACGCAGACUCAUCC